Molecule: unclassified non-coding RNA, 4349 nt
Filed under: Haliotis rufescens (red abalone)
Lineage: Eukaryota; Metazoa; Mollusca; Gastropoda; Lepetellida; Haliotidae
Description: uncharacterized LOC124147532, transcript variant X1
Source: RNAcentral
AACUUCCUGGUACACAAACAUGGCGGGAGUGAGGUGGCUGAUACUUACUGCGGCUGUGUCAGGGUGGUGGAUUCAACUCAUACUGGGUACCAGCUGCCCAGGAGGAAUGUUCGGAGACACAUGUAGCUACUCAUGCCACUGUACACCGCCCUGUAACCAGACAACUGGAGUCUGUAACGGUGCAUGUGAUCGUGGUUGGUUUGAUGGGAAUGGGCAAACUUGUCAGAGAGAGAACGUUGCCUUCCACAAGACGGCAACUUCGUCCCCAACUGACUAUGCGUCUAAAGGCUGGACUGCAGACAAAGCCGUGGAUGGGAACCGGGACCAGGAUAUGUUCAACGGCCCCUGCUUUCACUCUCAUUCUACGGCACGUAACCCUACGUGGACAGUUGACCUGGGACAGCCGUACAGGAUACACGACGUCAGGAUAUACAACAGGGCAGGAUAUCCUCAGUUGAUCAGGGCUGCUGUCCUCACACUGAGUAACUCCAGCAGCUCCACACCCGGCGUCACCUGCUACACCUUCCCCUCUGGCACAGCUAAAACUAUCAACAGCGUGUACGACGUGACGUGUGACGGCACAGGGAGAUACUUCACCAUCAAACACAGCAAUAAACCACUAAAUCUGUGUGAGGUGGAGAUUUAUGUUUGCAGCCCAGGAGUCUUUGGCGAUAGCUGCAAUCAGUUCUGCCACUGCUUCCAAGCAACGUGUGACCCAGUCAGCGGUGUGUGUCCUGGAGACUGUAGACCAGGGUGGCAGGGAGAGAGAUGUGAUACAGUGUGCCCAAAUGGAAGUUAUGGGCCGAAGUGCAACAACAUGUGCACUGAUAGGAAUUGUGCAGGAGACUCGCCAUGUGAUCACAUAAGCGGGACAUGUGUUUCUGGGUGUGAAGCUGGAUGGAUGGGUGACGACUGCAUAGAGGCAUGUUCAAAUGGAAGCUAUGGACAGAACUGCAAGAACUCGUGUCAAGAUAGGAAGUGUGCUGGGGACUCGUCAUGUGAUCACAUUAGAGGGGCAUGUGUUUCCGGGUGUGAGCCAGGUUGGAUGGGUGAAGAUUGUAGAGAAGCAUGCUCCAAUGGAAGCUAUGGACAGAACUGCAAGAACUCGUGUGAUGACAGGAAGUGUGCUGGAGACUCGCCCUGUGAUCACAUUAGAGGGACAUGUGUUUCCGGGUGUGAGCCAGGUUGGAUGGGUGAAGAUUGUAGAGAAGCAUGCUCAAAUGGAAGCUAUGGACAGAACUGCAAGAACUCGUGUAAUGACAGGAAGUGUGCUGGGGACUCUUCAUGUGAUCACAUUAGAGGGACAUGUGUUUCCGGGUGUGAGCCAGGUUGGAUGGGUGAAGAUUGUAGAGAAGCCUGUGACAUUGGACGUUACGGAGCUAACUGUGACAAGACUUGCGUCUCCAGACAGUGUGUGGGGAACUCUUCCUGUAACUCAACAGGGGACUGUGACACCGGGUGUGAGACAAGGUGGUCAGGAGCGGACUGCACAGUACAAAUCCAAGCUUCUACAUCCCCGGCUGUGCCUGUCGCGGCAGUUGGUGGUGCUGUGGCCGGCCUUGUCCUGUUGGUCCUGGUGCUGGUCCUCCUCAUCAUCAUCAGGAGGAGACGAAACAGAGGGAAUAAGUCUCCUGAUGGACCAGUAUAUGAUGAGACAUCUCCAAGGAAUAGAAAGCUCCAAGGUGCUGAUAACGUUUACAUGAAUGUUGGGUUUGAGGAGAACAAAUCCGUGUCCAAGAAAGGACACACUCUGACAAUGGGUGACAAAGACCACGGCCAUCCAGAGCACCAGAAGGAAGCUGAUUCCCAGAGUGUGGCCAACCAAGAGGAAGACGACAAGGACGCCAAUGUUGACAUACAUCCGAAGGGGGAAGCAGUAUCGGGUGUCUCAGGAUGUAGCUAUUACAACUUAGGCGACCUUGGUCACGUGAUUCCCUUGUCUUCUCUUGAGGCAAGAGUACGUGAAAUUGAAAAUCAUCCCCAAGAGGCAUUCGAGCGCUUGCCAGGCGGAUUUACCCACAGCUACGUAGAAUCUCAGAAGGCAGGGAACAAAGGGAAGAAUAGAUUCAAGGGAUACUAUCCAUAUGACUACAACCGUGUGGUGUUGCACAACGACAGUGACGGCAGUAGAGGCGACUACAUCAACGCCAGCUACCUAGAUGGAUAUAAAACUGACAAUCGAUACAUUGCAGCACAAGGUCCCUACAAGUCGGACAUUGUCGGGGAUUUCUGGAGGAUGAUUUGGCAAGAAGGUUGCACGUCUAUUGUCAUGGUAACAGGGUUGGUGGAAGCCGGCAAGGUGAAGUGCCUUCAGUAUUGGCCUUCGGAGAAAGGAUCAGAGAAGUUUGGUGACGUUAUGGUUACUGUGGAAACAGAGACACGACUAGCCAACUACACCAUCACCAAGUUGGCUGUUGAGAAUGAAAAGGAAAGCGAGAGACGGGAUGUCUGCCACCUUCACUUCACCAGCUGGCCAGAUCAUGGUGUGCCGGACACUGCUGCCCUGCUGGACUUCAUGUGGAGGGUCAAGGUCAUAUCUGGACAACAAACAGAGCCGAUCAUAGUCCACUGCAGUGCUGGCAUAGGUCGGACAGGGACGUACAUCGCUAUCGAGAGUCUUGUGGAACAGGCUAAGACAGAGGGCGUUGUAGACGUCGUCAGCUUCGUCUCCAACAUGAGAGGGCAGAGGAAGAACAUGAUUCAGACAAAGGAGCAGUACCUGUUCGUGUAUCAGGCGGUGGCGAGGGCGGUUGCAGAGGGUGACACGUCACUGGAUUGUGACGUCAUCAGAGAAAUGAACCUGGAUGACGUGUCAGACUUUGCUAUGGGAAAUAGGACUGUUCAACAACAUAUCAAGGUCUUUCAAAGUGAAUUUCAAGACCAACCCGACGAUUCACCCUUCAAGACUGUACCAUCAUAUACAUCGCGGAAUGGUUUCGUUAUCAUGACGUCACUUCCGAACAAAGAGGAAGUGUGGGAGACACUUUACAAUAGUGACUGCCGAAGUAUAUUCACGUACCCUACACAUGAUCAGUGUUAUCUACCAACAUCUGAAACUUCAGUGACAACCAUGAGGAUAGUGGCGAGGUCACUGUUAUACAACACUACCACAACACCGGAAGUGCACGUGACGCGGAACUUGAUUUGCUUAUUGAUAGCUUUCUGACAUGGACCAAUGAUCCGGAACGAGUCUGCAGCAUGAUCAUUUCUGACUGUAUGAGCGAGUGUCGACUCCUGGUGCUUCUUGUGAACAUCGCCAGCAGACUGCAGGACGACGGUAGAGUGGACGUCAUCAACAACAUGCGACAACUUUACACACGUCUGGGAGGUCCACCAUUCACAGAGGCUGACGUGAGACUAUGUCUGGAGUUUACUCAGCGGCGACUGGAGACACGUGGAGUUUACGCCAACAUGUGACAACAAGAACCGAAUCUUCCAUGGAAGCGACUGUAUGAAACAGUGGCCUAAAGGAAACGUUCAAUAUUAUAGAGAAACAAUGACAUAUCAUCACAGCUUACCAAUAUUCUGUAAGACUGCAACUUUAAGGACAUCAUACCGUCAAAAAUGAAACAUACCGGAAGCUCCAUCCUUGAAUUCCAUUUUAUUAGGGAAAAUAAUUUUCAUAGUUUUAAUUUUGUUACAUUCACAAUAUUUUUAUGAACUUGAUAUUUUGCGUUGUAUUAUUCAUGACCUCUUGUUGCAAGGCAAAACCUGGUUUUCUGGUUGCACUCGUAGCAAAUUAUUUUUUAUGAAAUCCAUAUGCACAUCUUUUUUAUUUUCUCUUUCCGAUUUGUAUGUGAUAUAUUGCUGGUAAAGCGAAUGAGAUUUCUAGAUGCACAUGGACGUUAUUUCUCUAUUAUAUAUUAUAUAUAUUAUGAAAGUCGCAAAGUAUAAAAAAAAACAAUUUGAUAUCUUUGUAAAAACGCAAAAAGAGUGUGCACGGUUUUUUUAGAAUUUGAUAUUUAUUGCAUAGAGAUUGAUUUGAUUUAACGAAAUUACAGAAAUAUGGACAGGUUCUUUCAAAUGUUUUGAUUCGAUUCUUGUGAAGACAGAUACUGAGUAUGCAUUUACUUUGGGUUUUACUAGCAAGGUAACUUGGCAGAAGAAAGCUAUUCUAAAAGUUUUAAAAAUUUAAACUAGCUGCAAUUUAGCUAGCAAAUAUAUUUUGAUUGGACAAGCGAUGUCAUUCCAGAGAUUUAUUGUGAAAUGUCUACAAAUUAACACUAAGGCUGGGCUGGUGUGUCAGCUAAAACAAUUAUCAACCAUACGUUAUUCUGUGUAACUCAGAAUCAUAACUCCUCUUGCGAGUAGAUCUCCAGCUGUCAGCCUCAAAUAAAUAAGGCCUCAAA